Molecule: non-coding RNA, 30 nt
Filed under: Rattus norvegicus (Norway rat)
Lineage: Eukaryota; Metazoa; Chordata; Mammalia; Rodentia; Muridae
Source: RNAcentral
UUCCUCUUCCAAGAGGUAGAAGCCAGCCUC